This 200-nucleotide unclassified non-coding RNA is filed under the name Hevea brasiliensis (rubber tree). The record is from RNAcentral. Lineage: Eukaryota; Viridiplantae; Streptophyta; Magnoliopsida; Malpighiales; Euphorbiaceae.
AAGAAGAGUCCUAAGGUUGAAUUUAUUUCUGGAGGAACUCAGCCUGCUCAGGUUGCGGCCCCACCAAAGUUUAGCCUGCCUAUUCCAGUUGCUGCUCCUAGUGGGUUGCAUUCUGCAUCAACCACAGCUGAUGCAGUUGUUCGGGAUGGUAGACAGAACAAGAAGUCAAAAUGGGAUAAGGUCGACGGUGAUGGAAAAAA